This 265-nucleotide unclassified non-coding RNA is filed under the name fungal sp. RNAcentral's name for it is "partial internal transcribed spacer region". The stretch from base 1 to 46 matches the Rfam family "Eukaryotic small subunit ribosomal RNA", at positions 1786 to 1831 of the family's 1831-position model. Lineage: Eukaryota; Fungi. The record is from RNAcentral.
AAGUCGUAACAAGGUUUCUGUAGGUGAACCUGCAGAAGGAUCAUUCGUGUAAUCAUGAGAGGUACUUGAUCGCAAGAUCGGGUUACUAAUCGUACACUUUGUGAACUUUAAAAACAUUGGUGAUUCAGCAGUGUCUUUGAGAGAUUCAUUCUCUCAUUGGCAAUAAGCGAGCGCCAGGGGACUUUGCUAACCAAACCAUUACAUUAUUGCCUAAAACUUUAAGUGAAUUAACAUAUAACCUUUAACAAUGGAUCUCUUGGCUCCU